CUGUAAUGGCAGGUCAGCAUACUGCCGUGAAUACGUUCCCGGGCCUUGUACACACCGCCCGUCACACCAUGAGAGUUGGGGAUACCCGAAGCCUGUGAGCUAACAGUAAUGGAGCAGCAGUCGAAGGUAGAAUCAAUGAUUGGGGUGAAGUCGUAACAAGGUAAC
RNAcentral lists this ribosomal RNA (165 nucleotides) under uncultured bacterium. RNAcentral's name for it is "partial 16S ribosomal RNA". It matches the Rfam family "Bacterial small subunit ribosomal RNA", at positions 1336 to 1500 of the family's 1533-position model. The record is from RNAcentral.